This 58-nucleotide transfer RNA is filed under the name Matsumuramata muiri. Its description in RNAcentral is "tRNA-Ser". The record is from RNAcentral. Lineage: Eukaryota; Metazoa; Arthropoda; Insecta; Hemiptera; Delphacidae.
AAGAGACUUAAAAAGAAGCCGCUAACUAUCUUUAAGACAUUAAAAUGUUAUUCUCUUA